CAGCACCAAGGAGUUUCCGGUCCCGGUACAGAUCAGUGAGGAAGAGGCUAUUGACAAGUGUGGAUUUGCCCAGGCCAGACUCUCCUGAGAGGAGAGAGGACAGAGGCACCAAAUCAGAAGGGACCCUUCUCUGGGCUGUCUGAUAGUCUGCAGAGACACAGCUGCUUUUGUGCUCUGGGAGAGAGGGACUCCUUGGAGAUCUGGUCUCGUUAGUAGUCGUAAUUCUUUGGAUGGGCUCAGUUUGUACUGCUUCAUCCUUUGGAGAAGGCUCCAGACCCUCCUUUACUCUCCCGAGAUUUUAGAAAUUCUCAGGACUCAUCCAGAGAAGGAAUCAGCCAGAAGAUCCUAUGAAGACAAGGUCAAACCAAACACGCUGUGUUAGCCCAUUUUAAUAAG
Long non-coding RNA from Nomascus leucogenys (northern white-cheeked gibbon), 396 nucleotides. RefSeq lists it as uncharacterized. The record is from RefSeq and is a predicted model, not a curated record. The transcript is spliced from 3 exons. Lineage: Eukaryota; Metazoa; Chordata; Mammalia; Primates; Hylobatidae.